This is a long non-coding RNA of Mauremys mutica (yellowpond turtle), 261 nucleotides long. RefSeq lists it as uncharacterized. NCBI's taxonomy places the organism in Eukaryota, Metazoa, Chordata, Testudines, Geoemydidae. The transcript has 3 exons. The record is from RefSeq and is a predicted model, not a curated record.
UUGACUCCAGCCUGGUUUGCAGAUGAUACUGGCUGAUGGCUCUUUGGUGACCUAUCUGAAUUAACCUGAAGGUUCCCAGUAGAGAGGCAUGGUGGGAAACUGAAAGGCCUAAAUCCUGUGGCGGAGUGCUGAGGAGAGCGCUGUAUGGACUGGAAAGCAAUAAAAUACAACCUGUGCUGUGACUGGGAAGUAAACGGAAGAUAAACAAACACAGAAGAAACUGAUUUAUUAACACUUGGUCCAGCCCUCCUUUAGUCCCCC